RNAcentral lists this ribosomal RNA (470 nucleotides) under Russula aurantioflava. Its description in RNAcentral is "Russula sp. MC-2019c partial large subunit ribosomal RNA". It matches the Rfam family "Eukaryotic large subunit ribosomal RNA", at positions 162 to 633 of the family's 3401-position model. The record is from RNAcentral. Lineage: Eukaryota; Fungi; Basidiomycota; Agaricomycetes; Russulales; Russulaceae.
CUUCCGCGCUGGACCAUGCACAAGUCUCCUGGAAUGGAGCGUCAUAGAGGGUGAGAAUCCCGUCUUUGGCAUGGAUGCACCAGGGCUUUUGUGAUGCGCUCUCGAAGAGUCGAGUUGUUUGGGAAUGCAGCUCAAAAUGGGUGGUGAACUCCAUCUAAAGCUAAAUAUUGGCGAGAGACCGAUAGCGAACAAGUACCGUGAGGGAAAGAUGAAAAGCACUUUGGAAAGAGAGUGAAACAGUACGUGAAAUUGUUGAAAGGGAAACGCUUGAAGUCAGUCGCGUCGGCCAAGACUCAGCCUUGCCUUGGCUUGGUGUACUUCUUGGCCGACGGGUCAGCAUCAAUUUCGCCCCUUGGAUAAUGGCUAGGGAAAUGUGACACCUUUCAGGUGUGUUAUAGUCCUUUGUCACAUGCAAGGGUCAGGAUUGAGGAACUCAGCAUGCACCUUUGGGUGUCGGGGUUUUUGCCCAC